GUCUACGGCCAUUCUACCCUGAACAAGCCCAAUCCCAUCUGAUCUCGGAAGCGAAGCAGGUUCGAGCCUGGUUAGUCCUUGAACGGGAGACCACCUAGGAAUACCAGUUGCUGUAGGCG
RNAcentral lists this ribosomal RNA (119 nucleotides) under Pteropus alecto (black flying fox). Lineage: Eukaryota; Metazoa; Chordata; Mammalia; Chiroptera; Pteropodidae. The record is from RNAcentral.